UCACUUCACAUUAAGCGCACCCUCCCUAUAUAGGGAAUUGUCGGCUUUCGGGCCGACUAUGGCGAUAAACUGCGGUGUGCAAUAGACGCAACGGACCCGGGGGCAGUACCCGGCGGCUCCACCAUAAAACCCGCGAAAGCGGGACUUCUGACGGGGCCGAACUAGGAUCGACGUGUGUUGAAAAGCAUCGUUUUUGCCCGGGCUGAGUAACCCGAAUAAGGCUCAUUUUUAUAAGUGCAAACGACAACGAAGCACUCGCUAUUGCAGCGUAAUUGAUGGCCUAGCGGCCUGACAUUACAAAGCUUAAGCGCGGUUGGACCCACCGGGCAACAGAAGGGAUACC
RNAcentral lists this transfer-messenger RNA (343 nucleotides) under Parapontixanthobacter aurantiacus. RNAcentral describes it as "Altererythrobacter aurantiacus transfer-messenger RNA". It matches the Rfam family "Alphaproteobacteria transfer-messenger RNA". Rfam says of the family: Bacterial tmRNA, also known as 10Sa RNA or SsrA, is named for its dual tRNA and mRNA-like properties. Its role is to liberate the mRNA from a stalled ribosome. To accomplish this part of the tmRNA is used as a reading frame that ends in a translation stop signal. The record is from RNAcentral. Lineage: Bacteria; Pseudomonadati; Pseudomonadota; Alphaproteobacteria; Sphingomonadales; Erythrobacteraceae.